This 891-nucleotide ribosomal RNA is filed under the name Hyphodontia arguta. RNAcentral describes it as "partial large subunit ribosomal RNA". It matches the Rfam family "Eukaryotic large subunit ribosomal RNA", at positions 66 to 938 of the family's 3401-position model. Lineage: Eukaryota; Fungi; Basidiomycota; Agaricomycetes; Hymenochaetales; Schizoporaceae. The record is from RNAcentral.
UAACAAGGAUUCCCCUAGUAACUGCGAGUGAAGCGGGAAAAGCUCAAAUUUAAAAUCUGGCGGCAUUGGUCGUCCGAGUUGUAAUCUGGAGAAGCAUUUUCUGUGUCGGACCGUGCACAAGUUUCCUGGAACGGAAUGUCAUAGAGGGUGAGAAUCCCGUCCAUGGCACGGAUCACCGAUGCAUUGUGAUAUGCUCUCGAAGAGUCGAGUUGUUUGGGAAUGCAGCUCAAAAUGGGUGGUAAAUUCCAUCUAAAGCUAAAUAUUGGCGAGAGACCGAUAGCGAACAAGUACCGUGAGGGAAAGAUGAAAAGCACUUUGGAAAGAGAGUUAAACAGUACGUGAAAUUGUUGAAAGGGAAACGCUUGGAGUCAGUCGCGUUGGCCAGGAUUCAGUCGCUCUUACCGGGGUGGAUUACUUCCUGGUGAACGGGUCAACAUCGAUUUCGAACGGUGGAUAAAGGGGAGAGAAAGGUGGCACCUUCGGGUGUGUUAUAGUCUCUCUUUCGCAUACACCGGCCGGGAUCGAGGAUCGCAGCACGCCUUUAUGGCCGGGGGUUCGCCUCACGUAACGUGCUUAGGAUGUUGGCAUAAUGGCUUUAAGCGACCCGUCUUGAAACACGGACCAAGGAGUCUAACAUGCUCGCGAGUGUUAGGGUGGAAAACCCUUGCGCGUAAUGAAAGUGAAAGUUGGGACCUUCGUCAUGGAGGGCACCGACGCCCGGCCUUGAACUCUUGUGACGGUGCUGCGGUGGAGCGCGUAUGUUGGGACCCGAAAGAUGGUGAACUAUGCCUGAAUAGGGCGAAGCCAGAGGAAACUCUGGUGGAGGCUCGUAGCGAUUCUGACGUGCAAAUCGAUCGUCAAAUUUGGGUAUAGGGGCGAAAGACUAAUCGA